AGUGAACGCUGGCGGCAGGCCUAACACAUGCAAGUCGAACGGCAGCACAGUAAGCUCUUGCUCUUAACGGUGGCGACUGGCGGACGGGUGACGAAUACAUCGGAUUCUACUUAUUCGGGGGGGACUACGGAGGAAAAGUUACGCUAAUACCGCAUAUGUCCUACGGGAGAAAGCAGGGGAGAAUCACACCUUUCCCGUUUGAAUUAGCCGGAGUCGGAUUAGCUAGGUGGCGAGGUAAAGGCCCACCAAGGCGACGAUCCGUAGCGGGUCUGAGAGGAUGAUCAGCCACACUGGAACUGAGACACGGUCCAGACUCCUACGGGAGGCAGCAGUGGGGAAUCUUCGGCAAUGGGCGAAAGCCUGAUGCAGCAAUGCCGCGUGAGUGAAGAAGGCCUUCGGAUUGUAAAGCCCUUUUGUUAGGGAAGAACAACAGCAGGUGAAUCCCCGGCUGUUCUGACGGUACCCAAACAGUAAGCCCCGGCUAACUUCGUG
Molecule: ribosomal RNA, 492 nt
Filed under: uncultured bacterium
Lineage: Bacteria
Description: partial 16S ribosomal RNA
Rfam family: Bacterial small subunit ribosomal RNA
Source: RNAcentral